GCUGAUGGAUUUGAUGCUGGCAGUGGCAAGGACAGAAAGGAAGAAACCAAGGACAGUUCAAGCUUUUGAUUUGAACAACCAGGCAGAAGAUGAGGCACAGGAACUCUGGUACAGUCUUGGUUUCUUCCUGGAUUCCGGAGGGGAAUGCUAAGGGACUGACCAGAAACCCAAGUGCACGGCAUUUCUUAGCCCCAGGAAAUGGUUCGGGAAUGGACGUGUGACCCAACCAAGGCCAAUGAGGUACGUGAGGAUGCUUGCUGAGUGCCCUGGGCAAGGGCCAGGACUGCUGCAACCGGCCAGCCACCAGCCUGAGAACAAAGUCCACUCACAGAGGAAGCAGAAUCAAC
Lemur catta (Ring-tailed lemur) is the source of this 347-nucleotide long non-coding RNA. RefSeq lists it as uncharacterized. Lineage: Eukaryota; Metazoa; Chordata; Mammalia; Primates; Lemuridae. The record is from RefSeq and is a predicted model, not a curated record. The transcript is spliced from 3 exons.